GUUUCCAACCAAGACGUAUGGGUGCAUACAUAUUUAGGGUUUAUUCCACGCAGCUAUAAAUACAUAACUCUUCCCAGUCUCUUCCGUUCUUUCUCCAUCGUUAGGGUAUCGAAAACAAAUCGUCGCCGAAUUUACUCUCUGUUUCACGAUGAGGGCUAAGUGGAAGAAGAAGAGGAUGAGGAGAUUGAAGAGGAAGAGACGAAAGAUGAGACAAAGAUCUAAGUAGUCAUUGAAGGAGGAAACAGGUCUAGGUCGAAAUCAGUGGCGGAGGAGGAAUAGUUAGUAUAAAGCUUUUGUUUCUGUUUUUAGGGUUUUAUGAAGACUCAUUUUAUCUUUUCUGUUUGUUAGGAAAGAUAAAUUGUUACUCUUGAAUGUUGUUUUUCAGAUAUGAAUGAAUUUCGUUUAUCAGAUUAUUUCAGCGUUUUCAGAUU
Molecule: long non-coding RNA, 431 nt
Organism: Papaver somniferum (opium poppy)
Lineage: Eukaryota; Viridiplantae; Streptophyta; Magnoliopsida; Ranunculales; Papaveraceae
Exons: 2
Source: RefSeq, a predicted model, not a curated record